AUGACUAUAAUUUAAUGGUAGAAUCGUCGACUUCCACUCGAUAAAUGCUGAUUCGAAUUCAGCUAGUCAUA
Molecule: transfer RNA, 71 nt
Rfam family: tRNA
About the family: Transfer RNA (tRNA) molecules are approximately 80 nucleotides in length. Their secondary structure includes four short double-helical elements and three loops (D, anti-codon, and T loops).
Source: Rfam